Long non-coding RNA from Zea mays, 1909 nucleotides. RefSeq lists it as uncharacterized. The record is from RefSeq and is a predicted model, not a curated record. The transcript is spliced from 3 exons. Lineage: Eukaryota; Viridiplantae; Streptophyta; Magnoliopsida; Poales; Poaceae.
UUGUUUUUCAAUUCUGCCCUCUCAAUACUUAGGGCAGAUGUUUUGGCUUCCAGUUCAUCCACUUUCCUCCUCAUUUCUUUAUUAAUUUCUUUUUCUUUCUGUCAAAAACAAGACAGUAAUAUUUGGCUGAUGAGAUGUUCUUGAAUAACAGGUUGGAUAGAUAAUUCAUAGAACACACUAACAGAAAAGGCAGAUAGAAUGCUCUAAAGUGCUACAGCUAUUGCAGUUUACCUCAACAACUGGACCGUAGUGUUUGGUUCAGGAGUUAGUCUAUCCGGGAGAUUUUGGAGGAACCGAAUGGUUCAAGGUACGAGCACAAUAUUCUUUUUUGAGAGUCACUUCAUUCUAUACGAAACCAAUCUAAACAACAACAAGUUACAAGCAGAGCGACUUUCGUAUGCUCAGGGACCAAACACUACGUACCUUAGUGUCUUGUAGGUCUUGGGUAUAGGUGGAACUAUGUUAUUCAGAACUUCAGAUGGUUACUAUGAGCAUUUGUUUCAUGUUACAACUUGCAAAUCGUUGAAUAAUAAAGGUAGUAGAUUCAACUCAUAACCUAUUGCUUAGAAAAACUUUUUACCCACUAUAACGGUAAGACAACCUCUAGAAAUUAUGUGAUAGAGAAGAUCUCGGCAGAUUUUGAAGAUUUUUUAACCCAGUUUAAAUUUGUUCCCAAAUAAGUAGUUAAAAUCAGGACAUAUAUAAAGAGUGAUAGUGAGAUCAUAGAACCAGUUCAGCUAGUGGCAUGUUUCGCAUAGCCUAUUGCUUAAGAGUACUUAGUAGUUGACGGAGUCUGAUCAGUCAAAAGGCGCAGGCACAAAGAAACAGACAUUCAAGCAAGCAACAUCUAUCGGUUAGAAACGCAAUUGUGAUUCAUGCAAACACACGGAUGCAUGCAAGCUAGCCAUGCAUAUCCAAAUACCUCGAGGAGGACUUGGAAGGAGAUGAGCUGCUGGUCGCGUUCCUGGACGAGGACGGCGAGGACGCGGCGCUCCCUCAUCUUGUGCAGGAUGCCGACGCUCACCGCGGCGGCUCCGACGGCCAGCAGCACCAGCAGGAGGAUCUUGUGGUGCUGUUUACUGCAGGACGGGGCAAAUGCUGUGACAGCGGCUGCUUGAAGAAACUGGGGUCUCCUUUUCGGUUGCUUCGGUUCUGGAAAGAGAAGUGAGCUUGCUUUGCUUAGGAAUGGUGUGAGACGAGGCACUAGGUGGCGCCAAGUCUUAGGGCUAGCUAGUGUAUACUUCACUUGCUUCAAGGUGGGUAACUGGGGAUGCACAUGCUCAUCUCAGUCUAGCUAGCAGUAGCUGAUCUCUUCGAGCCAUAGAGAGGGCAUAACGCCUGACUCUCUUCGAGUUUUGACUUUGAUGGUUAUCGUUAGAUCUAGGCAACAUUAACUACGAUGCUUGUAUUUGCAUCUGAUCUCACAGUAAAGUAUCAUACUACUGUUCAUGUUCGUUGCCCAUCAAACUUAGCAACACUUUGUAUACAAAUCAGAAGAACUGAAACACUUUGUAUUUGCAUCUGACCAGAGUGACAAAAAAAAAAGGACACCGCCAUCUUCUACAGUCACAAUUCACAAAAUCGUCUGUCAACAGGAAAGGAUGAGCUCAUGAAGUUCUCUAGCUAACGAAGUUUUCUUCAUGAACGGUGUUGAGAAAAAUGCAUUAUAUAGAAGACGAUGGCUACAUGUCUACAUGAAGAACACAACUUAGGUCAAUCUUCAAAGAAAUUCGCAUAGUAAUAAGAAUGUUAUUUUGAGCAUUGUGUAGGGGAGUAUAUGAUUGUUAUCAUGUGUUGGCACAUAUUUUCUUUUUUAUUACAGUAUUAAAUAUCAGUAAUUAUCGUUAAAACAUUCAGCAUGAUAGUGACUAAACUUUAGCAAAAUAUAGGCUUAAUUAGGUUUAUUAAA